UUCAGUGACAGAAUUUAUUCAGUACAUUGCACAUGCACAGCACUAUACAGCAAGUGGAAGGUCACUUGAUUAAUCCUUGCUCUAAAGGUGUAAGUGGAUAUGAUUGUAUGCAAUACAAAACCAAUACAUAUUGAUUACCGUGACAAUGCUCCACUGAACAGAUGUUUCUUGAAAAGAGAGUGGAAGCAGUUUGGUACAGGAGGUCUCCUUUGCCCUAUCCAGUAAUGGUAAGGUAAACCAGGACCUUACCAGAGUGCUUCAUGGUUUCUGUGGUGUAGCAACAGCCCCAAUGCCAACCUGUCACAAAUAGCAUUGUCAGAGAAAAACCUGUAGUGAAGUUCAUAUAGCCAUACAUCCUCUGGACCUCCCAGGAUGCCCCACAGUACCCCAGUGCAAAGGCUGGGUUACUCUCCCAGAAUGUGGUCGUGAAUCACUGCUUGGCAUACAUAGCUGUCCUCCCAGAACCGGUUCCUUUGAGGCUCUUAAAAUGCUCAUACAAGACAGACGUGAGUCUGCAUUACCCCAAAAGGGCUGUUUAUGGCCAGCUUCAAACUCCAUGCAGUUACGGUCACCCAUGCAGACAACCUCCAAGUGUCUGGUCUGUUGAAUAAGACAGACUAGCCAAGGACUUGUCUCAGGAAUACAGAGAUGCCUGUUUGGUGAAGGGCUGAGGCCUUGAAGAAGGUUACGCGGGGAUGCAUGCUCAACCCUAAUGGACAUGGCUGUUGAAACUGAUUUGCUCUCACAGGCCUCAGCUCCCCCUCUGCCUGCUCUGUGGUGGAUCCACACUGGCAUGUGGAGGGGGAAAUGACACAAGUGUGAAAAAAACACAUCCCUCCUAUUUAUGGGGAAGUAGGCAGCAUCAAGUACAGGGAAUCAUGUGAAAUUGCUGGUCAGGCAACAAGAGACGAACACAAACUGAGCGGGAAUGGAAAGAAAAGAAGAAAAGAUAGAUGAUGCAAGGGAAUCAGACAUGUCAGUUGUCGUGACUUUCAGGACAUCUAUUUCUCCGUUAAUGAGAAUGUCUUGUUCCUGGUGAAUCUGCAAAUCCCUGACUCUAGAAUUUCCUCUUAAGGCUUCAUUUUGCUAGCAAAAAAGUAAUAAAGACUUUGCUGUCAUAUGAGGAGGCUUUCCACUGAGGUCACUGGGGCCAUUCCAGUAGGAAACUGGUGGGAGACGAGAAUCAGGUUAUGUGUGCUUGAGCAGGUCCAGGGCGUGGUGGCCACAAGUGUUCCUGCUCCCAUAGCUAUCUGCUGGGGUCUCAGCUAGCAAAACUACUUCAAAACAGGUAUUUAUUACUUGAGGCGUAAGCUUAUUACAAUGUUUGGGGCAUCUUCCCCCCAGCUCACUAGAAUGCAAUUUAGUGUUGGAAAAGCUGACAUAAUUCCAUACAACCUCUAGCUGCUGGCUGUUCAUCUGCCUGUGUUAUUGGGCUGAUCAAAGCCUUGAUGUGGAAGCAUGACUUGUGAGUGUGUCUGGAGGUGCAGCUUAAUCACAAGGGCUCGCCUUUCCACACAACAGCAAGCAGCCAGGAGAGCUUAUAGAAAUGUGCUGGAGAGUCAGAAUUAACCAUUAGAAGGCUCUGGGAAUCUUCUGUGGAAUACAAGGAAGAAGGAGGGUGAGAGACAGAGUUAAAAAAUCAUGCAAGACUCUUGUGAGAACCCUGAUUCAGCAAAAUAUGUAUUUCUCUAACUUUGGGGCUGUCUCAGCUUAAUAAAGUGGUUAAGCAGACCCAUAAUUUUACUUACGGCAAGUAUCUUAGCCUGCACAUAUUGUUGAGCACAUGCUUAAAUGCUUUUCUGGGUUGUGAACCAGCUCUCAGUAAAAUGAUCUGGUUACUGCAUAUUCAUUUGAAAUUCCCAAAUUGCGUAGGUACUUCCAACAAUGAACAUCUGCUCCGGAGGUGGUGUCACAUGAGAUAUUUGGCCUUUUUAAUGUGGAUGACAAGUUACUAAAAACCUGUUUCUCUCCAUUUAGCAUCAUUGUGGUACUACUGUGUGCUGUGCACACCGAAGUUUCCUCUGUGACUGUAGAACAUUUUAUCUGGUUUAGGUUUAUUACCUGGCUGAAGAGGAAACAGAAAUGCUUUUAGGCUUGGUUGUUACAUUUCAUAGAACAGUCUCAUGAACAUGUUGAACAGAUUGACAGGAGUAUAUUUAAAUAUAAUUAGAUACAGUGAACUCACUUGUUUGAAGGUUUAGCUUUGGUAAAGACAUAUUUAUAAGCAUUCAGUUUCCUGACAAUUUCGUUACAAAUGUGACACAGACACAACUGCUUCUGCACUCUCACACAAUUCUUAUUUAGAAUUUCAGCAGAACCUCAUUGUUGCUGCUAAGUUGUAGCUGUAUUUUGUGAAAAUGUGUUUUACUCAAAAUUCUUCAAAACUCUCAUUGACUCCAUUCUGAUCUGCAUUUCUCUGUAUAAGCCUAAUAGUUAAAAUUUCUUCAGGUUCUUUGGUUUCACAUGAGCAAUGAUGUUACAGAAUGAAGAACACACUUCGUCCCUCUGGAGACUUAAAUCUGCAAAGUUAAUGUGUUUCUUCAGUGCAUCAUGCUGUGCAUGGGGCUUUUUGCAGCAUGAAGGCACAGGGCAUAUAUCUGUAGUCCAUCACAUAUUUCACUCAAAUGAUGUCCUUACUAAGGCAAGAUAGUUCACUUUGGUACACGAGGCAGGAGGCAUCCUGUGUAAAUUGGCAAGAAAAAACAUACUAUGAAAACUCUAUCAUAUUAUUCCUGAAGUAUUAGUUGCAGAGAACACGGUUAUUCCUGUUUUACCUUUUUUUUCUGAACUGAAUAACGAGCUUAAUUACAUUUAAAUGCCACAUAACUGACCUCUGCCCUGACCCAAUAUUCCAGGGGAACCAUUCCUGCUCUUACAGUGGUGCGGGUGGACCUGCCUUUGCAUGGAGACCAAGACUACAGAGUUCCCUUCCUAGGACCGGCAACGCACUGGGUUGGCGACAGAGCAACUGGAAAAUAACUACAAAACGCAGACCAGAAAACAGGACGAGGAAGUGAAAUCAAGACUGCUCCACCACCCUGCGGGAAAGGGGGAGAAAUGAAUGCAAAUCCCCGAGCAGAUGCUGGGUGUAAACACACCGGAGCGGCGCUGAACUCCUCACUGGGAGACUCAGACCUCCCCCACAACCAGUCCCCCGUGCUUGCCUCCCGCCAGAGGAGAGCGGGAAGCCGCACGGCCCGGCCCGGCCCGGCCCGGCCCCGCGCUGGUGCUGAGCCCGGCGGGGUGCGGUCCCCCGUGGUGUCCCGGGCCGCCACCUCCCCGCUCCCGCAGUGGCGGGGGCACCGCGGAGAAGAGAGACACGGCACCACCAGGCACGGGGGGAGGGGGGGGGGAGGGCGCGCAGCACGCUCCGCGACACGCAUAUAUAUAUACAUACAUACAUAUACACCCAUGCACACACGACCCACCAGCGCGCCGUGCGCACGGACACACACGCAGAAGCCGCUCCGCAUCGCGCCGCGAGCACACGCGCACCGCACCGGCACACGCGCGGAAGC
Molecule: long non-coding RNA, 3518 nt
Organism: Strigops habroptila (Kakapo)
Lineage: Eukaryota; Metazoa; Chordata; Aves; Psittaciformes; Psittacidae
Source: Ensembl